GUGUACGCUAGCGGGAGUUUUAUCACAUGCAGCCGAGGGGUAUAGUUCUUUCGGGACUCGAGACCGGUGCACGGGUGUACGCGCGUAUAUUCCUUGCCCUACUGAAAUUGAUAGCCCUUCGAAAGCAUGAUUACUAUUUUAUAGUAUAAUUCAUGCUUUCGAAGGAUUUUGAAAGAUUUAUCGCAGUAGGAUAGGCAUGCGUAAGAUUAGUUAGUUGGUGAGUAUCUGCCUCACCAAGACUAUGAUCUUUAGUGGGUCUGUGAGGGUUAACGCUCGCACUGGUACUGAGACACGAACCAGCUCUCAGAGGAGGCGGCAGUGAGGAAUAUUGGACAGUGGGUGGAAGCCUGAUCCAGCCAUCUCGCGUGUAGUAUGACGGCCUUAUGGGUUGUAAACUACUCUUAUCUGAGGAUAAACCUACACACGUGUCAGUCGCUGAAGGUACCAGACGAAUAAGCACCGGCUAACUCCGUGCCAGCAGCCGCGCUCAUACGGAGGGUGCAAGCGUUAUCCGGAUUUAUUGAUUUAAAGAGUCCGUAGGCGGAUUAUUCAGUCAGUGGUGAAUCUCAUAGCUGAUCUAUGAAACUGCCAUUGAUACUG
This 600-nucleotide ribosomal RNA is filed under the name Wautersiella sp. SS126. RNAcentral describes it as "bacterial SSU rRNA". It matches the Rfam family "Bacterial small subunit ribosomal RNA", at positions 29 to 635 of the family's 1533-position model. The record is from RNAcentral. Lineage: Bacteria; Pseudomonadati; Bacteroidota; Flavobacteriia; Flavobacteriales; Weeksellaceae.